This 26-nucleotide non-coding RNA is filed under the name Mus musculus (house mouse). The record is from RNAcentral. Lineage: Eukaryota; Metazoa; Chordata; Mammalia; Rodentia; Muridae.
UCUGCUUCCGUCUCAUUGGUCAGAGC